This 253-nucleotide ribosomal RNA is filed under the name uncultured bacterium. RNAcentral describes it as "partial 16S ribosomal RNA". It matches the Rfam family "Bacterial small subunit ribosomal RNA", at positions 524 to 776 of the family's 1533-position model. The record is from RNAcentral.
UACGUAGGGAGCAAGCGUUGUCCGGAAUCAUUGGGCGUAAAGCGCGCGUAGGCGGCUCGAUCAGUCUGUUGUGAAAGUCAAAGGCUCAACCUUUGAAAGCCGAUGGAUACUGUCGAGCUAGAGUCCGGAAGAGGCGGGUGGAAUUCCUGGUGUAGCGGUGGAAUGCGCAGAUAUCAGGAGGAACACCAACGGCGAAGGCAGCCCGCUGGGACGGUACUGACGCUAAGGCGCGAAAGCGUGGGGAGCGAACAGG